UAAGACUGAUGGCGACCGGCGCACGGAUGAGUAACACGUAUCCAACCUGCCUUAUACUCCCGGACAGCCUUCUGAAAGGAAGAUUAAUACGGGAUGGUAUCACGAGCCAGCAUUUUCUCGUGAUUAAAGAACUUCGGUAUAAGAUGGGGAUGCGUUCCAUUAGAUAGUAGGCGGGGUAACGGCCCACCUAGUCUACGAUGGAUAGGGGUUCUGAGAGGAAGGUCCCCCACAUUGGAACUGAGACACGGUCCAAACUCCUACGGGAGGCAGCAGUGAGGAAUAUUGGUCAAUGGGCGCGAGCCUGAACCAGCCAAGUAGCGUGAAGGAUGACUGCCCUACGGGUUGUAAACUUCUUUUAUAAAGGAAUAAAGUGAGGCACGUGUGCCUUUUUGUAUGUACUUUAUGAAUAAGGAUCGGCUAACUCCGUGCCAGCAGCCGCGGUAAUACGGAGGAUCCGAGCGUUAUCCGGAUUUAUUGGGUUUAAAGGGAGCGUAGAUGGGUUGUUAAGUCAGUUGUGAAAGUUUGCGGCUCAACCGUAAAAUUGCAAUUGAUACUGGCAGCCUUGAGUACAGUUGAGGUAGGCGGAAUUCGUGGUGUAGCGGUGAAAUGCUUAGAUAUCACGAAGAACUCCGAUUGCGAAGGCAGCCUACUAAACUGCCACUGACAUUGAUGCUCGAAAGUGUGGGUAUCAAACAGG
Molecule: ribosomal RNA, 697 nt
Filed under: uncultured Bacteroidales bacterium
Lineage: Bacteria; Pseudomonadati; Bacteroidota; Bacteroidia; Bacteroidales
Description: bacterial SSU rRNA
Rfam family: Bacterial small subunit ribosomal RNA
Source: RNAcentral